This 73-nucleotide transfer RNA is filed under the name Lactarius lactarius (false trevally). RNAcentral's name for it is "tRNA-Val". It matches the Rfam family "tRNA". From Rfam's summary of the family: Transfer RNA (tRNA) molecules are approximately 80 nucleotides in length. Their secondary structure includes four short double-helical elements and three loops (D, anti-codon, and T loops). Lineage: Eukaryota; Metazoa; Chordata; Actinopteri; Lactariidae. The record is from RNAcentral.
CAGAGUGUAGCAAAGACAGUAAAGCAUCUCCCUUACACCGAGAAGUCAUUCGUGCAAAUCGAAUUACCCUGAC